This 431-nucleotide ribosomal RNA is filed under the name uncultured Elusimicrobium sp. RNAcentral's name for it is "bacterial SSU rRNA". It matches the Rfam family "Bacterial small subunit ribosomal RNA", at positions 958 to 1385 of the family's 1533-position model. Lineage: Bacteria; Pseudomonadati; Elusimicrobiota; Elusimicrobia; Elusimicrobiales; Elusimicrobiaceae. The record is from RNAcentral.
AACGCGAAGAACCUUACCCGGGCUUGAACUACUCGUAGUAGGCCGAUAGAAACAUUGGCCGAUCCGCAAGGAAGCGAGCAGAGGUGCUGCAUGGUUGUCGUCAGCUCGUGUCGUGAGAUGUUGGGUUAAGUCCCGCAACGAGCGCAACCCCCAUUCGAUGUUGCUAAUCCCGCAAGGGAUGCACUCUUCGAAAACUGCCUUCGAUAAGAAGGAGGAAGGUGGGGAUGACGUCAAAUCCUCAUGGCCCUUAUGUCCGGGGCUACACACGUGCUACAAUGGCCGGUACAACGGGAAGCAAUACCGCAAGGUGGAGCAAAACCCUUAAAGCCGGCCCCAGUUCAGAUCGUGGGCUGCAACUCGCCCACGUGAAGGCGGAAUCGCUAGUAAUCGCUGAUCAGCAGGCAGCGGUGAAUACGUUCCCGGGCCUUGUA